This 280-nucleotide ribosomal RNA is filed under the name Bacteroides stercoris ATCC 43183. Its description in RNAcentral is "partial 16S ribosomal RNA". It matches the Rfam family "Bacterial small subunit ribosomal RNA", at positions 492 to 776 of the family's 1533-position model. The record is from RNAcentral. Lineage: Bacteria; Pseudomonadati; Bacteroidota; Bacteroidia; Bacteroidales; Bacteroidaceae.
UAUGGUAAUUGUGGCCAGCCGCGGUAAUACGUAGGUGGCAAGCGUUAUCCGGAUUUAUUGGGUUUAAAGGGAGCGUAGGCGGGUUGUUAAGUCAGUUGUGAAAGUUUGCGGCUCAACCGUAAAAUUGCAGUUGAUACUGGCGACCUUGAGUGCAACAGAGGUAGGCGGAAUUCGUGGUGUAGCGGUGAAAUGCUUAGAUAUCACGAAGAACUCCGAUUGCGAAGGCAGCUUACUGGAUUGUAACUGACGCUGAUGCUCGAAAGUGUGGGUAUCAAACAGG